This 498-nucleotide ribosomal RNA is filed under the name uncultured soil bacterium. Its description in RNAcentral is "bacterial SSU rRNA". It matches the Rfam family "Bacterial small subunit ribosomal RNA", at positions 26 to 532 of the family's 1533-position model. The record is from RNAcentral.
AGAAUGAACGCUGGCGGCGUGCUUUACACAUGCAAGUCGAGCGAGGCGGGUAGCAAUACCCAGUCGAGCGGCGAACGGGUGAGUAACACGUGGAUCAUCUACCUUCAGGUGGGGGAUAACCCGGGGAAACUCGGGCUAAUACCGCAUAACAUCGUGAGAUCAAAGGGGCGCAAGUCCCGCCAGAAGAGGAGUCCGCGUUCGAUUAGCUAGUGGUAGGGUAAUGGCCUACCAAGGCCACGAUCGAUAGCCGGCCUGAGAGGGUGAUCGGCCACACUGGAACUGAGACACGGUCCAGACUCCUACGGAGGCAGCAGUGGGAAUUUGCGCAAUGGGCGAAAGCCUGACGCAGCAACGCCGCGUGGAGGAUGAAGGUCUUUGGAUUGUAAACUCCUGUCAGCAGGAAAAGGGUAUGGCACACCAGAUCAUUGAUUGUACCUGCGAGACGGAAGACCCCGGCUAACCUACUGUGACCAGCAGGACCGCGGUAAAUUCCGUAGA